RNAcentral lists this ribosomal RNA (404 nucleotides) under uncultured bacterium. RNAcentral's name for it is "bacterial SSU rRNA". It matches the Rfam family "Bacterial small subunit ribosomal RNA", at positions 355 to 776 of the family's 1533-position model. The record is from RNAcentral.
UGGGGAAUAUUGGACAAUGGGGGCAACCCUGAUCCAGCCAUGCCGCGUGAGUGAUGAAGGCCUUAGGGUUGUAAAGCUCUUUUAUCCGGGAUGAUAAUGACAGUACCGGAAGAAUAAGCCCCGGCUAACUUCGUGCCAGCAGCCGCGGUAAUACGAAGGGGGCUAGCGUUGUUCGGAAUCACUGGGCGUAAAGGGCGCGUAGGCGGACGAUUAAGUCAGGGGUGAAAUCCCGGGGCUCAACCCCGGAAUUGCCCUUGAUACUGGUUGUCUUGAGAUGGGAAGAGGUAAGUGGAAUUGCGAGUGUAGAGGUGAAAUUCGUAGAUAUUCGCAAGAACACCGGUGGCGAAGGCGACUUACUGGUCCUUAUCUGACGCUGAGGCGCGAAAGCGUGGGGAGCAAACAGG